This 71-nucleotide transfer RNA is filed under the name Mertensiella caucasica. RNAcentral's name for it is "tRNA-Ile". It matches the Rfam family "tRNA". Rfam says of the family: Transfer RNA (tRNA) molecules are approximately 80 nucleotides in length. Their secondary structure includes four short double-helical elements and three loops (D, anti-codon, and T loops). Lineage: Eukaryota; Metazoa; Chordata; Amphibia; Caudata; Salamandridae. The record is from RNAcentral.
GGACAUGUGCCCGAAAGAUAAGGACUACCUUGAUAGGGUAAUUUAUAGAGGUUCAAACCCUCUCAUUUCCU